GAGUUUGAUCCUGGCUCAGAUUGAACGCUGGCGGCAUGCCUUACACAUGCAAGUCGAACGGCAGCACGGGAGCUUGCUCCUGGUGGCGAGUGGCGAACGGGUGAGUAAUGCAUCGGAACGUAUCCUGGAGUGGGAGAUAACGUAGCGAAAGUUACGCUAAUACCGCAUAUUCUGUGAGCAGGAAAGCGGGGGACCUUCGGGCCUCGCGCUCUUGGAGCGGCCGAUGUCGGAUUAGCUAGUUGGUGAGGUAAAGGCUCACCAAGGCGACGAUCCGUAGCAGGUCUGAGAGGAUGAUCUGCCACACUGGAACUGAGACACGGUCCAGACUCCUACGGGAGGCAGCAGUGGGGAAUUUUGGACAAUGGGGGCAACCCUGAUCCAGCCAUGCCGCGUGAGUGAAGAAGGCC
RNAcentral lists this ribosomal RNA (407 nucleotides) under bacterium enrichment culture clone ALO1_GLFRUDD03G61MP. RNAcentral's name for it is "bacterial SSU rRNA". It matches the Rfam family "Bacterial small subunit ribosomal RNA", at positions 9 to 416 of the family's 1533-position model. The record is from RNAcentral.